UCAGAGCUAGUUAUGGUAUUGCACAUUCCUUGUCAACUCUGUUUAUGGCUCCCCAAAACAUUGUGUCUGUAUUCUAACAACAUCCUUUUGUAGCUCUCAUGGAACAGAAAAGUAUUUUUGUUGCAGUUUUUAUUUCCAGCGGUUAUGUAAAAGCCUUGUUUUUUAUGGCAUGUAAAACUGACAAAAAGCGAGCUUUACAAGCACUGUGGCUGACUCCGCCACCAUGCUUAGCCACCGCUUUCAUCAUUCCUAUCUGCUUUGAGAGCAAACACGGAAUCCUUGGCAAAGAAAAUGAUUGCCAGAGCGUUUAUUGGAUUCACAGCUGGAAAUGCAAUCAGCACCCUGUCCUAUAAUUCAGACCAUAAACACAGCAGACAGUGUCACAGCAGCAAGUGUGAAUUUUCAGACAGAGAUGUUAUGCUGAUUUUAAUCAAUUAAUGCACAAAAGAUGGAAAGCCUUUCAUUGCUUUCUAUUUUCUGAAGCAAUAUUACACUUUAUGAGCGUAAUGUUAGGAACAUUUAUCCUUUUCUUGAACUGAUAGCAUGAAUCCAGGUCAAAGCUGUAUUAAUCCCUCAUCUCUAUCUAUAUCAAUCACAAAGGAGGAUAUAAGUGGAUUAUAAUGAUGAUACGAAUUGUGCAAAAAUGGACUGCAACUCAGUAUCAAGAGGAUGUCCUGAAUGACAACAACACAACAGCACAAAAUGAGCUACUCUAUGGAGGAUUUAAUGGAGAAUGAAGAAACUCCACAGGCUCCAGUUGAUUCUUACUUGUAUGUAUGAAGUUUAUUGAAAACAAAUAUGUGAUGUCAGAGUAGCCUUUGGCACAAUGUAUACAUGGAUACAGUCUCACCAAAAACUUAAAGGAUUACAGGAAACAGUCACUUACUAACUUAUAGUAUAGCACUGAUCAUGCAACCUGAGAGGAGGGAACACUUGGGCACACAAGGUUAACUCUAAUUGUAAAUAAUGAAGAUAGCUUCGUUACCCAUCCAAGGCUAAUCCCUUAUCUCAUAUGCUGGCGCCCAGAACAUGAAACAUCUUUUGUGAAAAAACACGAAUGUCAGAGAGACAGAUGUCCUGUAGAUUAAACCAUUAUGGCAGGGCAUUUAUUAUUUAUUAGAACAUUCUUUUAUGAACAUAUAUCCAUAUAUUGAAGAUCAUUUCUUCCACACAAGGGGACCUUAAUGUAGACACACUGCUUAUCUCAGCAGCAGAGACCUUUUAUGACAGGGUACGAUUGUUUCAGUGACCACAUAUUCAAUUGUCCUUAUGCCCUUAAUAUUUUUUGUAUAUCUGUUAAAUUAGUAGAAUUAGUAGGCCUAUAGACUUUAGGCUCAAAUGUGUCUAGAAGAAAAGGUUGAAUGUGUGUGAUUGCUGUUUUUUGGUUUUUUAGUAUGGGAGCUGGCUUCUGUCAUGUUUCCAGACUUUACAAACUUGCCAGGAUUGUAAAAUACUGACUUGCAGUAUUAUUAAGUGCUAUGUAGCGUUUUGGCAUCUAAUUUGUCUCAAUUAGAUGAUUAGACUCAAAUUGGACUCCUUGUAUCAUAUUACAUCAUCUCACCACUACCUGAAGCAGCUUGACCACACUAAUACAGACCAUUUUUGUAUGGAAUUUCAGUGUGGUAAUAGCUCAGCAUAAAAAGCAUUAAGUCUACAUAUUCUUGAAUAAUUCAAUACAGAUAUACUACUCAAACAUUCCUCAGAUUGCUGUAGAAAGUGUCACUCAGUAGCCAAUUUGAUCCUGUGGGAACGAGACUGAACAACAAUUAAUUAAUAAUUCAUGUUACAGUCCUAAUUCCUAAUUAUUCCAGUUAACUAGGACUUCACGAUGAAAUGCUUAAGUGACUUUUUAAAUACAAAAUAUAACUAUUUAUCUUACUUACCAAUACAAUAGCUGAUUUCUGGUGAGUCAGGUGAUUUAGUCCUCUUAAGUCCUAGAUGUGCACAAAAUACAUGAAUGUGAACUUUUGAAUAGUUUACAAAAUAGUUAGCCAUUGUAUAUUUCAGUGGCAUUUCCCCUACUUCAACUUGAAGAGCACACACUGGUGCCGUUUUCACUGCCCCUAAGCAAAUCCUCAGACCACAGGCCUGAAUAACGUCCAGGUCCGACAGCACAGUCUUGGCUGCUGCGCCAUACAUCACACUACCAUAACCUUUCUUGCCCAGAUAUUUCAAUGACGCAAUAUCAGCUCCCAAUUCUAGCCCAGCAAGACACCUCAUGACAUUAAUGGCUUUCUUACUUUUCUUCACCAUGCUUCCUCUAUGUUCUCUCCAUGUUAGUCUGGAGUCAAAAUGUAUUCCAAAAACAUUCUACUCUCUCGACUCCCAUAUAACUUCAGAUUUCUUGCUUCCCUGAUUUUUCUACUUGUGAAGAACAUUACUUUAGUUUUUUUCCACAGUUAAUUUUAAACCCCAUUUUAUUCCCCAUCUUUCCAUUUCAAUUUCUUGUAGUUUCUUAACUAAAUCUUUUAGAUUCCCUCCCCCCUUUCCACAAAGCCCCAUCAUCUGCAAACAGAGACCUUCCCAUGCCUAAAGGUACACUUUUAGAAAUAUCAUUUAUCAUAACUGAGAAUAUUGUAGGACUUAUAACACUCCCAUGGGGCGUAUCAUUUUCUCCAACAUGUUUUUCCGAGAGCUCUGACCCUAUCUUAACCUGAAUAGUCCUUCCACGUAGAAAAUCCAUAAUCCGAUUGAAGAUGUUUCCCCCAAUUCCCAUUCAAUGAAUCUCAAUUAACAACUCUUCUCUCCGUAACAUAUCAUAAUGCCUUUUCCACAUUGAAAAACCUGGGCUUUUCUGACCUCAUCCUCAAACCCCGAACCAGGUCCAUUGUGCUCCUGCCUCUCCUAAAUCCUCUUUGGUAUGCAGCCACCAAGUCCCUCUUUUCCAGAAAGUGCACGAGCCUCUCAUUAACCAUCCUUUCUAUUAGCUUAAGAUAUGUGACAUUAGAGCAAUGGGUCUGUAGAUUACUGGCUUACUACGAUCUUUCCCAGGCUUUCUGAUUGGAAUUAUAAUUGCUUCCCUACAGCUCAUAGAGACUUGCCCCUCCUUCCAAAGUUUAUUGGAUAACAUCAGAAACUUAUUUAAUCCUUCUUCACUUAGAUGAUUAAUCAUUAUAUAACAUAUUCCAUCUUUUCCCGGUUCACUUUUUCCUGUAUUGGCUAAUGGCCUCUUCAACUCUCCAACAUUAAAUGGGAUAUCUAGUUCAUUACCACUAUUAUUCUUUCUCCCUAGUGUCUCCAUUCCAGCUUUAGUGUUUUUUCCCUGCCUUGCUUUCCUUCCUCAGUCACAUUAUUGGAGCUGUGUACUGCUACAAAGGUAUUUACCAUUAGCUCAGCCUGUUCUUUAUUGGUUAUCACCACUUCAUAGACCCAUAGAACGUCCUCCAAUAUGUCCUCUUUGCCUGUCUUACUGUUUUCCUGACCAUUGCUUGGGCUUGUAUGUACUGAACUAUUGACCAGUUUUAAUGCUUUGUUUCUAUUCUUUACCACUUGUUUGCACUUAUCAUCCCACCAUGAUACUAAAGUCUUCUUUGUCCUGCCUGUGGCUUUAGGAAUAGGACUUACUAGCGCUGAUAUUAUACCCUGCAUUAUUUUAUGGUUAAACAUUUCUGUAUUCAUAUUGUUACUAAUCUGAUGUAGAUGUUUAUCACCUUCACUCAUGAAAUUUCCCCAAUUAGCUUUUCCAAAAAUCCAAUUUCCACCUUUAUUUUACUGUAUAUUGGAUAAUGUUCACUACCAAUGGUCCCUACCUGAUACACAUGCCAGUCACACAAUGGUGUUAAGGUAUUGGUUACUAACAUUAGAUCUAGCACAGGUUCCUUGCCAGUGUUUACAUCUAUCCUUGUGUUUCUGCCAUCAUUAAUACAAACAAGGUGUUUCUCAUCCAGCAACUCUUCCACUACUCGGUCGUUGUAAUCAGUUUUAUCACUCUCCCAUAACGUAUUAUGUGCACUGAAGUCUCCACACCACACAGGGCCUCUUCUAUUUAUUCCUCCUAUUUCCUCAAGUUUACUGAGUUCUAAUUUUCUGCAUGGAUUAUAGAAAUUUAUAACCACCAGGUUCUUCCUUUCUGCCCACACUUCAAUAACCACACACUCCAGCUUAGUUCCAAUACCAAUAGUUCUGUAGGGGAUGCCCUCCUUCACAAGGGUGGCACAACGCCCUCCUGCUCCAUCUUUCCCUUCCCGCCUGAUUGCCACAUAUCCAUUUAUUAUGAACUCUGAGCUUGGUUUUAACCACGAUUCCUGGACACACAACACGUCUGGUUUUUCCUUCUGGCUGUAGAUGAACCGUUUGAAAUCCUGGCCAUUAGCAAUCAAACUUCUUGUGUUCCACUGCUGGAGGAUUAAAAUAGUUAUACUAUUAACCAAUAAAUUGUGUUCCCUGACUUGCCUGAAUAUCUAACUUUAUCCCUGGCCUCCUCCCAUCUCACACCUUUCAUAUCCAGAUGAUGGACAGCUGCUUUGACAAUAAUCUGGAUUCUCUCUGUUUUAGAUUUUACAUCUGCAGUCGCAUUUCUAACUCCUGCUAUAAAUGUCAAAAGUUUCUUUUUCUCUGCCAACAUCUUCUUUUCAAAUUCUUUCACAAUACUUGUCAGUGUUUCCCACACUCCUGAUUGUAAGUCAGUUUCUCCUGUCCAGCCAUCUUAACUGCCUCGGCAUAAGAGACUUUUGCUCUUAUCUGCUGUGCUGCAGCCUCUCGCUUCAUUGAUUCACAUCCCCAGCACACAACACUGUGUUCACCUCCACAGUUACAGCGUUUCGGUUUUAUACCUGAUCCACAUUUUUCAUAUUCAUGAUCACCACUAUACCUUGCACAUCUAAGCUACAUGGCCAAACUCCAGCAAUUGAAACACCUCAUUGGCUUUGGGACAAAUUCCCUCACAUUAUAUUUGAUAAAUCCAAAAUAAAGUUAUUUUGGGAUAUCUUUGGCAUCAAACUCAACCAUCACUGUUUCUGUCUCUUUUUUUCUCAGCUCCUCUUGUCAUUCUUUUAAUAGUUCAGGUUUUCAACUAGCUCCCUCAUACUGACACUAAGGGAGCUCUCUGACUUUCACUGUUUUUGUGACUUUUCCUACACACAGUAACUUUCUCACUUUAUCUACUUGGAUCUCUGUAUUACACCCAAGUGGCAAGUUACCAUUAUUUUGGUGAGUUUUAACGGGUCACUUGUCUUUAUGCCACCUUCUCCCCCAAACUUUACCACAACAUUAAGGGAUCCUGUUUUAGGAUUCCUUGCCUCAUCCUCCUGUCCAUCACUUUCUGUUCCUCCCAGUCUAGCCUCAUCCUGUUUCUUCCUCUUCCUCACACUAGCCUUCUGAUUCCUGCCUCCCUUCCCCACCUGUUCCCAUUCAAUUCCCCCUCUAUCACUACCAUACACCUCCCCCUCGCUCAACUCCAUGCUGUUGUAGCUGUCCUCGUCUACCUCCUUCCCCGCCAAGUUACACAGUCAAUGAGAAGUAGCAUGAGGGAACCGCUAAUGGGCCUAGACAGGCUGUCGGCCGAUACAGGCUGUUGGCUGAUACAGGUUACCAAAUGUCAAAGUCGAUUAAUCUUUACCCAAAUUGAUUCAAACCAGCGUAACAAUAAACAGCAACCAAAUUCAAAACUCUGUGCUCCAACUGUCUUCCGCCGAUCACAAGGAGGACUGACACGCUCACACCGAAGCUCUUGCUGACCUCAUCAGUGAUGUCAUGGGUUAGACCAAGUAUGGGGGGAUUCAUUUUAUUACCAAGUUGUGGUUGCUGUGUGUGUAAACAAUGUUAACAGAUACAAGUGACAUUGUCAUAUACCAGUUGUUAUAAUGGAAAGGACACUACUGAUAGAAACAUGGUUCUGCCUUGAUAGAUUGGAGGGCCUAUUUAAAGGGAGAGUUGUUGGUUUGAGAAAGUGCAGAAAUGAAAGAGGAUGUCUGUAGAUGUGUUAAGGUAAGUUUGAUUUGCUUGAUUUUGUUUCAUUAUUUGGGGAAAAUUGUUUUUGGUUACACUGGUGAGAAUAAAUCACCUUUUAUAAAUCUCUGGGUCUGUUUCUUAUCACCUUACUUGACACUCUGGCAAAGCUUCCUCACAGUUAAACUUUAUUUUACAAUAAAAAAGUAAAUAAUUGUAAAAAGCCAGAAAGUGUUGCAGAAAUAUAUUUCAUUUAGAAACUUUGUUCGAUCGCCAAAACGUGGAUGUUCUCAGGAGAUGCAUGUUAUCACUUUUCUUUUUUCUAGCAUAUUCCUGUAAUUGUAUCUAAUUUUAAAAAUUUUUUGCAAUGUAUAAUGGCAGUCUAUGGGAGGAAUGUUUGAAAGGUGAAAUCUCAACAAGUGCUAAAGUAUUCAUACUUCAUGGACAGGUGUCCUAUGUGGAAAUGCAUAACAUCUUAAAACAUGCUACUAAUAGCAUCAUCAUGUGGUCAGUUAUUAAUCAUUUUGGCUAAUAACUUAGGAACCGUGAGGUGUAGCAAAACAGUAUUUGCACAGUCCUUUCCUUGGAUGAUGCAGAUUAGACUGAUAUAGGCCACUCCCAUUUGUGCCGAUGAAAUGUUUCCGCCAUUUUGGAUUUUUUGAUAAACACAUUUUUUUGCUUCUUUGGCACAUAUUUCGUUUAAUCUUCACCAAACUUGGUGCAUACCAUAUGUUGAUGAUCCCCGAAAAAAAACUUGAGAUCAUUUUUGGGUAUCACUUACCAAUUGUCUGUAAUUGGUUACCAAAAUUUUGAAAACAUGGCCUGAUGCACUUAACGGGUCAUAACUCAUCGAUACAAAAUUUGAUUGCAACCAAAUUUGGGAAUGUUGUACAUACAGUCACACUGCACAAGUGUGUAACACUUCAUACAAUUCUACCCACAAUCGGCGCCACAGUAACAAUAUUUCUACAGUUCUGUUGUCUAUAUUAAACUUGGGACACAAGUUCUCCAUGAGAGUAUGCACAACAUAUUGAAACAUGGCACCAAUACCCCCACCUUGUGGCCAUUAAUAAAACACCACCAUACUACUUAUUAACUACCAUAUCUUUUAAAUGUAAUAUUCCAUGGCAACCAAAUGCAGCAAAGUAGAAGGGCAUACGGAACAAGUCUGUAGCAUUUGAUACAAUUUAACCUGUAGGUGGUGCUACAACAUUUAAAGUAUUGCUGCUGGAGUAGCAGCUUGCAGCGGCAGCAGCAGUAGGAGGUCUCUACAACAGCAAAGUUGGCACAUGUCUGCCUGGACAGUGAAGUAUGAUUUUUCACCUAUUUUCAUCCAGCAAAUCAAUAGGUGAGUUCCUUUUUGCUCUACUUGGUAGCAUAGGCAAAAUACAUUACAUCUCCAAUUAAUUUGAAUUAUGCUAUAUGCCCUUACUACUAUUUACCCUACCAUCUGAUCACAACAGCAAACAAAAAAAGCUUUUUUACUAGUAUAUAUUUUUUGUUAAGCCUGAGAUUUAUUCUUUGAGAUUCUUUCUGACUUAUUAUCCAAUCUUGAUGAUUUUUAGUUUUUGCUAAAAUUGUUUUCUUGAGGUGAAUUUUAUUCCAAUUAAAUGAGGAAAACAUUGGAUUGAGUGAAUUAAGUUAAGUUAAUUAAGUUUUGAAAUCAGAGCCUUGCUAACUAGCUACAUCUGUACUGUUGCUAAAAUAAUCUCUCGUUUCAGCGGCAUCUCAACAUUUCUGUAAGCGGAGCUGGACUUGUGACGCUCCAAAUUACACGGCACUUCAUAGGGAUAAAUUCUGAGAGAGGCACCCUGGCAGGACGGGACAAACUCCUGUCACAGAAGACAGAAAGUCACAGAGAAAAAGAUGACGGCAGUUAACCGUCAUGUGUUUAGUCUACUAAAGAAACUAAUGGACUUUUGAAUGGGACUUGAACCGUCACACCCACCCACACAAUCAGUCUCUUAGCCACACUUUUCAGCUAAUCACUUUGUUGCUGUUGGUUACUCAGUCAGUCACUCAGUCACUCACUCACUCACUCACUCAUUACAAAACCUUAUAAAUACACACUUAACUUGGACAGUUUGGUUACAGCUUGCAUUUUAGAGAAGCAUGUUCAUAUUUUAUAAUGAUUCAUGUCUUUAUUUGUGUACAAUGUUUAGACAGACUGCACUGUUUGUUUAAGUAUUUACUUUCUCAGUGACUGAAAUUUAAGUUUAAUUAUAUGAAUGAGCUCCAUGCUUUGUUUUUUCUCUUACUUUCUAAUUUAUGUACAGAUGUUUAGCAUCUUCAUUUAAAAUGUUAAUAAAGUGAGACAUGGUUGGAAAGAAACACGUUGAAGUUGUAUCAUUUGUCUUAACAUUUUACAUCACAAUUCAAAAGGCUGUUUAUUCAUUGUUGUAAAUACUGUCAGUGAGUAAUUAUAUCAAGUCACAGGAGUAGAUUGUCGUACAUAUUGCAGUUUACAGUGAAAAUCUGUAAGUAUACCUUUUAUGAAAAAAGUGCAAAUUAACAGUAAUAAACUGCAAUUCUUUUGACAGUGUUUUACUGUAAAAGUAGAAAAUAAGAAUGUUAUUCUGUAUUUACAAAAACAGCAACAAACUGAUAAUUUCAGCAACAGCAAGACAGCUUAAAUUUUACAGUAAAUUAACCCUGCUUGCAGUUCUUUACUGUUUUUUGACAGAAAAAUCUUUAACAGUGUAGUCACCCUGGGGGGAGGUCCCUGCACUGUUUGCUGUGGUUAAAGACACUGAGACGGAUGAGUGUUUACUGUUUGCAUGUGUUUACGUGGCUGUGACUGCACUUGUGGCAGGUCAGAGGGUUCAACCAACCCUCAGUAGAUCCUCUGUUGCAUCAGUCAGAAGGACUUACACGAAUGAAAACAGAGAAUAAUGGAGCUUGUAGGCAGUGACUCACCACAGCUGUUUGUUUAUGUUGAUGAAGUUGGAUUCAACUUGGGGAAAGUCAGGAGGAGAGGGAGGAACAUCAUUGGCCACGGAGCUACAGUGGAUGUGCCAGGCUAACGUGGGGCGAACAUCACCAUGUGCGCUGCCAUCUCCAUGAAUGGUGUCAUUGUCCACAUACCCUUGAUUGGACAGCAGAACACUGAACACUUCAUUGUAUUUUUAGAUGUAGUGCUCUAAGAAGAGGCAGACAGCCCAAUAUUGGCGUCAUAUGGGACAAUGUGAGCUUCCAUUGCUCACCCCGCAUCAGGAAAUGGUUUAAAGCACACUCUUGUGUGAACAUGGAGUUCUUGCCACCAUGUUCCCCUUUCCUGAAUCCAGGAAGAGUUUUUCUCUUCAUGUUGAUGGAAAGUGAUGACCAUCAACCAUACCAACAGAUAUCAUUACUUUAUGCGAUGAAUGCUGCUUGCGAGGCCAUUACUGCAGAAAACUGCCAGGGGUGGAUUCGUCAUAGCAGAUGUUUUUUCCCCUCAAUGCAUUACAAGAGGAUUUAUAACAUGUUGAAAAUUUGUGGUCUGACUCACAGGGGAGAGUGGAUGAAUAAAUGUUUUGAGUAUUUUUUUUAAUUUUCUUUACAUAACGUCAACGUAGGGUUGACGAUAAUGAUGACGUAUCCACAAUUUUGUUCUCAGUUUCCUGUAAAAAAAUAUUAAUCUUCAAAAAACUGAGUACAUUUUUGGUUUCAUUGAGGAAUUUUCUGUCUUUGUCUUUUCUGUCUGUGUAAAAGUUAUUUUCUGUGUUUAUUCUGUAAAAGUUAUUUGAAAUUGAACAAGGAUAAGGAAUAUAGAUCUAAAUGGGAUUAUGUAUAACCAGGUAAUUUCAAAGUCUGUAUCAUAUCACCCUAAGCAUCAAAUGGAUCAUAGAACAAAUGAACCUUUGACCUAUUUCAUUUUAAUGAGUGUAUUUACAAUUUUGAUUGCCAAUGUUCAAAGAAUGGUAAAGAAAGCCUCCUAUUUUGAUGAAAUGGCUUCUUGUUUUCAUGCGGUUAUUUGAUUUUUGCAAAUGUAUUUCAAUGUUUUGAGCAUCUCACAGCAUUUUGCAAUAUUUAUUAAAUGUUUUGACCAUCUGAGAGCAUUUUUCUCAUUAUAUGUAUUAUUUUGCAAAAUGAAAUAGUGUUGUGUGGUUCGUGUUAACUGCUUUGAACAUGUGAACUAUGUUUCAGGCAUUGUGCUCAACCAAUGGAGAAAAACAGUAAAAGAAUAUUUUUACUACUUCA
Long non-coding RNA from Thunnus maccoyii (southern bluefin tuna), 10065 nucleotides. RefSeq lists it as uncharacterized. NCBI's taxonomy places the organism in Eukaryota, Metazoa, Chordata, Actinopteri, Scombriformes, Scombridae. The transcript has 4 exons. The record is from RefSeq and is a predicted model, not a curated record.